UACGGAGGGUGCAAGCGUUAAUCGGAAUUACUGGGCGUAAAGGGUGCGUAGGUGGUUGAUUAAGUUAUCUGUGAAAUUCCUGGGCUCAACCUGGGCAGGUCAGAUAAUACUGAUGAACUGGAGUAUAGGAGAGGGUAGUGGAAUUUCCGGUGUAGCGGUGAAAUGCGUAGAGAUCGGAAGGAACACCAGUGGCGAAGGCGGCUACCUGGCCUGAUACUGACACUGAGGCACGAAAGCGUGGGGAGCAAACAGG
This 253-nucleotide ribosomal RNA is filed under the name uncultured bacterium. RNAcentral describes it as "partial 16S ribosomal RNA". It matches the Rfam family "Bacterial small subunit ribosomal RNA", at positions 524 to 776 of the family's 1533-position model. The record is from RNAcentral.